GCCCUGCGAUGAAAGGUCUGAGCAGCUGGGAACAAACAAGCAGCCACCCAUCCAUUCCUUCGAGAAGUGCAUUAAGGACUGCGAGUAAGGCAAUGCGAUCAUCAAUGACUCUUCCUUCUCCCAGUGCCAGAAAACUGCUUCCAUUUAUCACUUAUUCUCAUCUAAAUUCAUCCUGGUAAUACUGAGCAAAUCACAAGUGGUGGCUACUGAUGUUUUUUUGAGUUGACCUUGUAUCCUGCCACAUCACUGAAGGUAACAAACCGAAAGUAUCCAAAACUGAAAGAAGUGGAUGAUGUGCUUGGUGGAGCAGCUGCCUGGGAGAACGUGGACUCUACUGCAGAGCCAUGUCCCAAAUGUGAACAUCCGCGUGCCUAUUUCAUGCAGCUUCAGACCCGUUCUGCAGAUGAGCCAAUGACCACCUUCUACAAGUGCUGCAAUGCUCAGUGUGGACAUCGCUGGAGAGACUAGGGGCAGGGCUUCCCAGCUGCAGCCCUGACUUUGUGUGCUGAAGGUCUUUGCUGUGUGAUAGGAAGCUAACUCUUCUGUGGUGGAGGACGAGGGUGAAACAGGUCCUCUGCAGGGCUGCCACAUCAAGGGUGAUCUUGUAAAAUUUGACUUCUUAAUUGGGAUGGACAUUAACAUACCUGGACCACACGUGCAGCAGGUUUUGUAAGAAAUUGCUUCCUGGGAGUAGGAAUCACUAUGCUUAAUCCUUAUAUAAAUUAAAGGUGAGUGGAGUCUUACCCUUAGGGCACCUUGAUAGGUUUCCAUUCCAGAGCAACAAGGUCAGAGUUGCAGGUGUCCAAACCAAGGUUGCUAACACAAAACACCUAAGAAAAGCUUGCCAAUUCUUCACGUGCUAAGUCUAGCUGGAAAUAGACACCCACGUCUCAAAGUUUGUCACUGUGCACUGUGUCCCUGCUUUCUCUGAUCACAGCCUUACUCCUAAGACCUUGUUGCCAUGGUCAUUGGCUCAAUUCCUUAUCACUUACUCUAAGAAUGUGCUUUUGACCAAUGAGACGUAACUUUUUCUUUAGCUUCAAGCCUCCUGAAGGAGAAGAAAUCUCAGGCGAGAGGAGAAGAAGCUAGGAGGUAUUAGAAUUAGGAAAGAAUUGGAAUAGAGGCAGAAGAAUAGAGACAUGUUUGGAACAGCAUGUUAUCCCUCAGAUAUUUUAAGUCCUUUCGCUUGCUGUAGCAUUUCAUCUGAACCCUGAAGAGGGUCUUGGGGCUGGACCCCAAAGGCCCUUAAUAAGUAACCCCCAUACACUAUCCCUCAUUAUUGUGAGCUAGCCCCCAACUUGGACACAGACCCCUGCUUGAACAAAGGAAACACCGUCUGCCAGAAGUUCAUGAAGGCCACCUGCCUGCAGACCUCCCACACUCUCUCAGUGUCCCUUCAACACUAUCCUCAAGACCCUUCCCCUCUUUGCUUUUUUCAACCCCUAACUUGGACA
Arvicola amphibius (Eurasian water vole) is the source of this 1454-nucleotide long non-coding RNA. RefSeq lists it as uncharacterized. NCBI's taxonomy places the organism in Eukaryota, Metazoa, Chordata, Mammalia, Rodentia, Cricetidae. The record is from RefSeq and is a predicted model, not a curated record. The transcript is spliced from 7 exons.